AACGCGAAGAACCUUACCCAGGCUCGAAAUGUAAUGGACGAUAUCAGAGAUGAUAUUUUCCGCAAGGACUAUUAUAUAGGUGCUGCAUGGCUGUCGUCAGCUCGUGCCGUGAGAUGUUGGGUUAAGUCCCGCAACGAGCGCAACCCUUAUUGCCAGUUGCCAUCAUUUAGUUGGGAACUCUGGCGAAACUGCCUCGGAUAACGGGGAGGAAGGUGGGGAUGACGUCAAGUCCUCAUGGCCUUUAUGUCCAGGGCUACACACGUGCUACAAUGGCCGGUACAAACCGUCGCAAACCCGUGAGGGGGAGCUAAUCGGAAAAAGCCGGCCUCAGUUCGGAUUGGAGUCUGCAACUCGACUCCAUGAGGCUGGAAUCGCUAGUAAUCGCGGAUCAGCACGCCGCGGUGAAUACGUUCCCGGGCCUUGUACACACCGACGCGUA
RNAcentral lists this ribosomal RNA (439 nucleotides) under uncultured bacterium. Its description in RNAcentral is "bacterial SSU rRNA". It matches the Rfam family "Bacterial small subunit ribosomal RNA", at positions 958 to 1399 of the family's 1533-position model. The record is from RNAcentral.